RNAcentral lists this long non-coding RNA (549 nucleotides) under Olea europaea (common olive). RNAcentral describes it as "long non-coding RNA (OEUR_LNC009632)". Lineage: Eukaryota; Viridiplantae; Streptophyta; Magnoliopsida; Lamiales; Oleaceae. The record is from RNAcentral.
UGCAACAAGUUCUACAUUAGUAGACGUGUCUUAAAAUUGAUAUGUGAUGACCCAAAUCAAAGUCAAUUAUGCUUUUUCGACUUUUAUUCAAGACAUUUGAAUUCUUAUCCAAUUUAGAUAUUUCAACCCACAUCAUUUUUAAACAAGUAGAAAGACAUUAACUCAUUUUUUGACAGAUGGCAGUAGUACACCUAAUGUACAUUUUCCAUUUGUUAAAAAAUGUGUGUCAAUGUAUUAAAAAUAUAUGGAAAGACACGGCUGGAAAAUCAACAAAUCUCAACUCUUGGCUUAAUACCACAACCAUAUUUGAUAUCAUGUAGUCUAGAACCCAUCUAUAACAACGGACAAUCUCAUUGGCUUCGUAUAUAAUUUAUUUUAUUUCUUUGGAUGUUUCAGAAGAGAAUUUUGGUGACAUUCCAAUUGCAUUACACAUUUGAAAUGUGCAAUUCCAGCUAAACAAACCUCUUUAGAUAUACGUAUUGUCUACAGGCGUGACCUAGAUGUUGAGAUUUCUGAAGCAGGUGCACUCUGCAUAGGAGAAAAUUANNN